GGGGAAGUCCGGUGAGAGUCCGGCGCUGACCCGCAACGGUAGGCGGACGCCCCGCGCAGGGGCCCGUUCCGCGAGCCCGAUCACCC
RNAcentral lists this non-coding RNA (86 nucleotides) under Streptomyces noursei. Lineage: Bacteria; Bacillati; Actinomycetota; Actinomycetes; Kitasatosporales; Streptomycetaceae. The record is from RNAcentral.